UGUUUAGUCCCCGUUUUCUGCACUUCUUCCGUUGUCUAAGGCGCAUUUGAAUGUGCAUUCGUUUUCUCUUCCACAGAAAAACACAGAACCUCCUCAUCUCAAUGUACCAACAGCUAAUGUGAUCCAUUUCAGAGUUUCAGUGAACUCGCAUGUUAGCUUUCAUUAAUCAGUUUCUUGUUAUGGCUCCACCAAUUGAAAUUCCAAGUAAAUCUCCUGCCGUCCAGAAGGCCUCACUUGCGGUGCGCCUCUUAAUGAAAGGAUACUCUCUUCCAUCACGACGAAAACAGCUGCUGCUCAUCCCUGGCAUAGGUACAUAUCUUCACUAUCUACCUCAUUUUUCAUUACUCAAUUAAUCUUUUUCCCCAUUGUAGGACCUGGAGCACCAAUUAUCUUCCACUGUGUAAGAGUUCACCUUUUCAUACUAUAAAUUUGUGAAUAUCUCCAUCAUUUGUACCAAAAACUUGUUAAUACAUUCCCAAAUGGAAAUUGUAGUUUUUUUGUAGUUUGCCCUUUCUUGUUAUUAUGAGAUUGUCAGAUUUUGCUUUACUUAAAAGUUCAGUCCACUCUCAACUUGUAUAAGUAAAGGAAGUAAGGUGAAAUAUGAACUUGACAAGAAAACAGGCCUAAUCAAGGUAUGAGGUUUACUAUCUUCGAACGCAAGAUAUAUUUGGUUGAUCGUCAGCUAUUAAAAUUUGGUCGAUCGUGUUCUCUACUCAUCAGUUGUGUAGCCCCACAACUACGGUUUUGUCCCUUGCACUCUCUGCGAAGACAAUGACCCUAUCGAUGUAUUGGUGAUUAUGCAGGAACCUGUCCUUCCAGGCUGCUUUCUCAGGGCCAAAGCAAUAGGUCUUAUGCCCAUGAUUGAUCAGGGAGAGAAAGAUGACAAGAUAAUUGCUGUGUGCGCUGACGAUCCUGAGUAUCGGCAUUACACAGACGUUAGCAGAGGCGGAUCCAGGUGGGGUUGAGUGGGGUCGGCCGACCCCACCACCCUGCCUCGGAGUGCCACCGGAAAGCUCCUUUCUUCGACCUCCGACCUUACGGCGUUCGCGUCUCCGCCCCCACCUCACGCAGUGUGAGAUGAGACCGAGCAGAGAGAAAGAAAGGAAGUGAGGUGGGACAAAGUCCGGAAUCUGGCGGCGGCAUCACGGCGGAGUCGGCAGAUGUCGAGAAUGAAGAAAUUAAAUGUUGAGAAUUCAGAAGAGCUUUCAGUUUUUUUUUUGCCGAAGAGGGAGAAAAUAAAAUGGGUUUGGCGAUGUGGGUGAGGAGAGAGAAGUGAGUUGCAUUAUUGUUUUUUCUUUCCAAUAUUUACCCAGAGACCUAGAAUUAAAUGGCAUCAACAAAGAUGCACCCAUAAUUUGCUAAUUUUAAAAGAUUAGAGAUCUUGAAUAUGUAUCUAAUUUUAAAAUGGCCUUUGAAUUUUUCUUUCUUUAUUUGUAUUAAUUCUCAGAAGUCCAUUAAACGUGUAUUCUCAUCUAAUAAUUUUAAUUAAUGUUACAUAGUAUAAUAUGUUUUUUUAUA
RNA transcript from Salvia splendens (bonfire salvia), 1518 nucleotides. RefSeq lists it as uncharacterized. Lineage: Eukaryota; Viridiplantae; Streptophyta; Magnoliopsida; Lamiales; Lamiaceae. The transcript is spliced from 3 exons. The record is from RefSeq and is a predicted model, not a curated record.